Molecule: ribosomal RNA, 232 nt
Filed under: Proteus mirabilis
Lineage: Bacteria; Pseudomonadati; Pseudomonadota; Gammaproteobacteria; Enterobacterales; Morganellaceae
Description: partial 16S ribosomal RNA
Rfam family: Bacterial small subunit ribosomal RNA
Source: RNAcentral
CUCGACUCCAUGAAGUCGGAAUCGCUAGUAAUCGUAGAUCAGAAUGCUACGGUGAAUACGUUCCCGGGCCUUGUACACACCGCCCGUCACACCAUGGGAGUGGGUUGCAAAAGAAGUAGGUAGCUUAACCUUCGGGAGGGCGCUUACCACUUUGUGAUUCAUGACUGGGGUGAAGUCGUAACAAGGUAAUCGUAGGGGAACCUGCGGUUGGAUCACCUCCUUACCUAAGAGA